Molecule: ribosomal RNA, 749 nt
Filed under: uncultured cyanobacterium
Lineage: Bacteria; Bacillati; Cyanobacteriota
Description: bacterial SSU rRNA
Rfam family: Bacterial small subunit ribosomal RNA
Source: RNAcentral
GCUUAGAGUUUGAUCCUGGCUCAGGAUGAACGCUGGCGGUAUGCUUAACACAUGCAAGUCGAACGGAGUACUUCGGUACUUAGUGGCGGACGGGUGAGUAACGCGUGAGAAUCUGCCUUCAGGAUGGGGAUAACAGUGGGAAACCAGUGCUAACACCCAAUGAGCCGAGAGGUAAAAAAUUUAUUGCCUGAAGAGGAGCUCGCGUCCGAUUAGUUAGUUGGUGGGGUAAAGGCCUACCAAGGCGGCGAUCGGUAACUGGUCUGAGAGGACGAUCGGUCACACUGGGACUGGGACACGGCCCAGACUCCUACGGGAGGCAGCAGUGGGGAAUUUUCCGCAAUGGGGGCAACCCUGACGGAGCAAUACCGCGUGAGGGAGGAAGGCCUUUGGGUUGUAAACCUCUUUUCUUAAGGAAGAAGCUCUGACGGUACUUAAGGAAUCAGCAUCGGCUAACUCCGUGCCAGCAGCCGCGGUAAUACGGAGGAUGCAAGCGUUAUCCGGAAUUAUUGGGCGUAAAGCGUCCGCAGGCGGCAUUAUAAGUCUGCUGUCAAAGACCGCAGCUCAACUGCGGAGAGGCAGUGGAAACUGUAAAGCUAGAGUACGGUAGGGGGUAGAGGGAAUUCCCAGUGUAGCGGUGAAAUGCGUAGAGAUUGGGAAGAACACCAGUGGCGAAAGCGCUCUACUGGGCCGUAACUGACGCUCAGGGACGAAAGCUAGGGGAGCGAAAGGGAUUAGAUACCCCUGUAGUC